AACGCACCUUGCACCCUUUGGCAUUCCGAAGGGUAUGCUCGUUUGAGUGUCAUUGUACUCUCACACUUCUGAUCGUUUGGAUUGGGAGCGGUGGAUUUGGGUGUUGCCGCUUUACUGAGGCUCACCUUGAAUGCAUUAGUGCAACUCUUGGUUGGACAUAGUACGGCGUGAUAAGUCUUCGCCGGCACCUCACCAGAGGGUGGCUGAUCAGGAGCUCUGUGCUCCAAACUGUCCUUGGACAAUGACUGACAACUUGACCUCAAAUCGAGUAGGACUACCCGCUGAACUUAA
This 291-nucleotide unclassified non-coding RNA is filed under the name uncultured Sebacina. Its description in RNAcentral is "sequence contains ITS2". Lineage: Eukaryota; Fungi; Basidiomycota; Agaricomycetes; Sebacinales; Sebacinaceae. The record is from RNAcentral.